ACAGCAGCCGCCGCGGUAAUACGUAGGGGGCAAGCGUUAUCCGGAAUUACUGGGUGUAAAGGGAGCGUAGACGGUUAAACAAGUCUGAAGUGAAAUGCCGGGGCUCAACCCCGGAGCUGCUUUGGGAACUGUAGAACUGGAGUGUCGGAGGGGUAAGCGGAAUUCCCAGUGUAGCGGUGAAAUGCGUAGAUAUUGGGAGGAACACCGGCGGCGAAGGCGGCUUACUGGACGACAACUGACGUUGAGGCUCGAAGGCGUGGGUAGCAAACAGGAUUAGAUACCCCUGUAGUCCCUGUCUCUUAUAC
Molecule: ribosomal RNA, 305 nt
Filed under: uncultured bacterium
Lineage: Bacteria
Description: partial 16S ribosomal RNA
Rfam family: Bacterial small subunit ribosomal RNA
Source: RNAcentral